This 424-nucleotide ribosomal RNA is filed under the name uncultured Prevotella sp. Its description in RNAcentral is "bacterial SSU rRNA". It matches the Rfam family "Bacterial small subunit ribosomal RNA", at positions 355 to 776 of the family's 1533-position model. Lineage: Bacteria; Pseudomonadati; Bacteroidota; Bacteroidia; Bacteroidales; Prevotellaceae. The record is from RNAcentral.
UGAGGAAUAUUGGUCAAUGGACGGAAGUCUGAACCAGCCAAGUAGCGUGCAGGAUGACGGCCCUAUGGGUUGUAAACUGCUUUUGUAUGGGGAUAAAGUUAGGGACGUGUCCCUAUUUGCAGGUACCAUACGAAUAAGGACCGGCUAAUUCCGUGCCAGCAGCCGCGGUAAUACGGAAGGUCCAGGCGUUAUCCGGAUUUAUUGGGUUUAAAGGGAGCGUAGGCUGGAGAUUAAGUGUGUUGUGAAAUGUAGACGCUCAACGUCUGACUUGCAGCGCAUACUGGUUUCCUUGAGUACGCACAACGUUGGCGGAAUUCGUCGUGUAGCGGUGAAAUGCUUAGAUAUGACGAAGAACUCCGAUUGCGAAGGCAGCUGACGGGAGCGCAACUGACGCUUAAGCUCGAAGGUGCGGGUAUCAAACAGG